Molecule: long non-coding RNA, 685 nt
Organism: Styela clava
Lineage: Eukaryota; Metazoa; Chordata; Ascidiacea; Stolidobranchia; Styelidae
Source: RefSeq, a predicted model, not a curated record
CGACUAUCUAUUUUGUAUAUAUUUCUGUCUACUUUGCUAAUUCCCGUAAUGUUUUGAUUACUUAAUUACUAUCCUAAUUAUCUAUCGUUAAACAACAUUACUGACGCGUGUUUUGGAUCAGCACAUUGUUUAUCUGCGAUUUUCUGUUUUUGUGGUAGGCCUAGGUGUGGGAGCAAAAGGCCUCUGUUUCACUUGCGGACAUCAUCUGAUUUCAAUUAUUCAAGACCAAGAAUGGAGAUGAAAUGCGGAUGAUACCUGUAUGACCUCAUGAUGUCUAGAAUUUUAUCGUGCAUUUCAGGCAUUGAAAGCAUGAUCCAUCUCUAGCUCAUAUUCGAUGGAGGGAUCGCUUUUAUUUGAAGGGCAAGCGGUGGGAUGUCAAUAUGACUCCUCGACUGGAAAUUGUCAUUUUGAAUGUUUAAGAAAUUCCAAAGACAGAUUAGCUGUCGGAUGACUACCUGCUAUCAUUAUAUAAUAUACUAGUUGUAUUUUGCCAGAUUGAUCUGCUUUUAUAUCCAGAAAGGAUACUAAGUUAAGCUACAUCUCACACAAGUUUUAUAAUUUGAUAUGAUACCGGUUUUAUCUGCCGCUUGUGGUGCAUACUUUUGGCAGUUUAUUAUCUUACUCAUCGCUCAGUAAUGUUUACAAGUCCUCGAUUACUUUGAAUAAGAGCAGGAAUUUGUGAUAA